RNAcentral lists this transfer RNA (63 nucleotides) under Daphnia similis. RNAcentral describes it as "tRNA-His". The record is from RNAcentral. Lineage: Eukaryota; Metazoa; Arthropoda; Branchiopoda; Diplostraca; Daphniidae.
GUUAUUAUAGUUUAAUAAAAAUUUAGGUUUGUGGUGCCUGAGAUGUAGAAUCUACUAAUAACC